This 447-nucleotide ribosomal RNA is filed under the name uncultured bacterium. RNAcentral's name for it is "partial 16S ribosomal RNA". It matches the Rfam family "Bacterial small subunit ribosomal RNA", at positions 29 to 523 of the family's 1533-position model. The record is from RNAcentral.
AACGAACGCUGGCGGCAGGCUUAACUCAUGCAAGUCGAACGCCCCGCAAGGGGAGUGGCAGACGGGUGAGUAACGCGUGGGAAUCUACCCAUCUCUGCGGAAUAGCUCCGGGAAACUGGAAUUAAUACCGCAUACGCCCUACGGGGGAAAGAUUUAUCGGGGAUGGAUGAGCCCGCGUUGGAUUAGCUAGUUGGUGGGGUAAAGGCCUACCAAGGCGACGAUCCAUAGCUGGUCUGAGAGGAUGGUCAGCCACAUUGGGACUGAGACACGGCCCAAACUCCUACGGGAGGCAGCAGUGGGGAAUAUUGGACAAUGGGCGCAAGCCUGAUCCAGCCAUGCCGCGUGAGUGAUGAAGGCCUUAGGGUUGUAAAGCUCUUUCACCGGUGAAGAUAAUGACGGUAACCGGAGAAGAAGCCCCGGCUAACUUCGUGCCAGCCGCCGCAGUAA